Molecule: long non-coding RNA, 664 nt
Organism: Toxotes jaculatrix (banded archerfish)
Lineage: Eukaryota; Metazoa; Chordata; Actinopteri; Toxotidae
Exons: 3
Source: RefSeq, a predicted model, not a curated record
GAUGUUUUGUAUAACACAGGGUAUCUACAUGUGUCCUACAGCCUCACGUGACAGUAAGUGACAAGAGCCCAAAACAAACAGUGGAGCAACAAUCGAAAACACCAAUCUUGCUUUUAAACCUAAACAAAAUUGACUUAUGGUGUGGACUUGGACAGUAUACUUAAAAUACAGUACACACACACGCCAGCCAAAGCCAAACGCAGCUAGCAAAUCCAACUCCUGGGGUUGCACUCUACUCACCCUGCGAACUCGAUAUACUUGUAGAUGGAGCCUGCAAUUGCCAUGGCGACGAUGGCAUAGUACCAGGAGCAGAGGAACAUAAGAGUGAGACACAAGCUCAUGCCCAGGAAGGACAAAGCCCUGUACAGAUGGAGAGAAUGAUGCAGAGGCAGAGAAACACAUACAGGGGCAGUAGUGAGAGGAUACAGACAGUGGAGGUGGUGGUGAUGGCUGCAAUUGUUCCGAUGGGGAUAGAUUUCUGGGCAUCGCGCAAGUCUCCGGAGCGGUUGGAGCCAGCCAUGAUCCCUGAAUAGAGAGUCCAGAAGCAAAUGUUGUCAAGAUCCAAACUGCAUGAACCAACCUGCCAGGAUUCCACUGGUGACCCCCGGGAUUCCUUGGGCCCUAGUCACAUUGUUGGCGGCGAAGUACUUGUCGCAGGUUGCAU